Molecule: ribosomal RNA, 355 nt
Filed under: uncultured bacterium
Lineage: Bacteria
Description: bacterial SSU rRNA
Rfam family: Bacterial small subunit ribosomal RNA
Source: RNAcentral
AGAGUUUGAUCCUGGCUCAGGAUGAACGCUAGCUACAGGCUUAACACAUGCAAGUCGAGGGGAAACGACAUCGAAAGCUUGCUUUUGAUGGGCGUCGACCGGCGCACGAGUGAGUAACGCGUAUCCAACCUGCCCAUCACUUGGGGAUAACCUUGCGAAAGUAAGACUAAUACCCAAUGAUAUCUCUAGAAGGCAUCUGAAAGAGAUUAAAGAUUUAUCGGUGAUGGAUGGGGAUGCGUCUGAUUAGCUUGUUGGCGGGGUAACGGCCCACCAAAGCAACGAUCAGUAGGGGUUCUGAGAGGAAGGUCCCCCGACCAUUGGAACUGAGACACGGUCCAAACUCCUACGGGAGGCA